UACGGGGGGGGCAAGCGUUGUUCGGAAUUACUGGGCGUAAAGGGCUCGUAGGUGGCCAACUAAGUCAGACGUGAAAUCCCUCAGCUUAACUGGGGAACUGCGUCUGAUACUGGAUGGCUUGAGUUUGGGAGAGGGAUGCGGAAUUCCAGGUGUAGCGGUGAAAUGCGUAGAUAUCAGGAGGAACACCGGUGGCGAAGGCGGGUCUCUGGGCAACAACUGACGCUGAGGAGCGAAAGCGUGGGGAGCGAACAGG
Molecule: ribosomal RNA, 253 nt
Filed under: uncultured bacterium
Lineage: Bacteria
Description: partial 16S ribosomal RNA
Rfam family: Bacterial small subunit ribosomal RNA
Source: RNAcentral